RNAcentral lists this ribosomal RNA (464 nucleotides) under uncultured bacterium. Its description in RNAcentral is "bacterial SSU rRNA". It matches the Rfam family "Bacterial small subunit ribosomal RNA", at positions 41 to 496 of the family's 1533-position model. The record is from RNAcentral.
GGAAUGCUUUACACAUGCAAGUCGAACGGCAGCAUGGAGAGCUUGCUCUCUGAUGGCGAGUGGCGAACGGGUGAGUAAUAUAUCGGAACGUGCCUAGUAAUGGGGAAUAACUAGCUGAAAGGUUAGCUAAUGCCGCAUACGACCUACGGGUGAAAGCAGGGGAUCUUCGGACCUUGCGUUAUUAGAGCGGCCGAUAUCUGAUUAGCUUGUUGGUGGGGUAAUGGCCUACCAAGGCGACGAUCAGUAGCUGGUCUGAGAGGACGAUCAGCCACACUGGAACUGAGACACGGUCCAGACUCCUACGGGAGGCAGCAGUGGGGAAUUUUGGACAAUGGGGGAAACCCUGAUCCAGCCAUUCCGCGUGAGUGAAGAAGGCCUUCGGGUUGUAAAGCUCUUUCGCAAGAGAAGAAAACUUGCUAUCUAAUAAAUAGUAAGCAUGACGGUAUCUUGACAAGAAGCACCGG